Armillaria luteobubalina is the source of this 92-nucleotide non-coding RNA. The record is from the annotation of a GenBank genome assembly. Lineage: Eukaryota; Fungi; Basidiomycota; Agaricomycetes; Agaricales; Physalacriaceae.
GCAUCAAUGGGGUAGUGGUAACCUGGGUCGUUGCCAUAACUUUGAUGAUAUGGCGUAUCGACCCGCCGGGGGUUCGAUUCCCUCUUGAUGCA